GAGCAAUGAUGAAAACAUUUUACUACUGACCUGUGUAACUAUGAAGGUUUCUACACUUGACCUGAGCUCA
RNAcentral lists this small nucleolar RNA (70 nucleotides) under Chinchilla lanigera (long-tailed chinchilla). Its description in RNAcentral is "Small nucleolar RNA U2-30 (ENSCLAG00000020043.1)". It matches the Rfam family "Small nucleolar RNA U2-30". From Rfam's summary of the family: U2-30 is a member of the C/D class of snoRNA which contain the C (UGAUGA) and D (CUGA) box motifs. Lineage: Eukaryota; Metazoa; Chordata; Mammalia; Rodentia; Chinchillidae. The record is from Rfam by way of RNAcentral.